AACGAACGCUGGCGGCAUGCCUAACACAUGCAAGUCGAACGAGACCUUCGGGUCUAGUGGCGCACGGGUGCGUAACGCGUGGGAACCUGCCCUUAGGUUCGGAAUAACUCCCCGAAAGGGGUGCUAAUACCGGAUAAUGUCUUCGGCCCAAAGAUUUAUCGCCUUUGGAUGGGCCCGCGUUGGAUUAGCUAGUUGGUAGGGUAAAAGCCUACCAAGGCGACGAUCCAUAGCUGGUCUGAGAGGAUGAUCAGCCACACUGGGACUGAGACACGGCCCAGACUCUUACGGGAAGCAGCAGUGGGGAAUAUUGGACAAUGGGCGAAAGCCUGAUCCAGCAAGGCCGCGUGAGUGAUGAAGGCCUUAGGGUUGUAAAGCUCUUUUACCCGGGAUGAUAAUGACAGUACCGGGAGAAUAAGCGCCGGCUAACUCCGUG
This 433-nucleotide ribosomal RNA is filed under the name uncultured bacterium. RNAcentral's name for it is "partial 16S ribosomal RNA". It matches the Rfam family "Bacterial small subunit ribosomal RNA", at positions 29 to 507 of the family's 1533-position model. The record is from RNAcentral.